Non-coding RNA from Mycena vulgaris, 92 nucleotides. NCBI's taxonomy places the organism in Eukaryota, Fungi, Basidiomycota, Agaricomycetes, Agaricales, Mycenaceae. The record is from the annotation of a GenBank genome assembly.
GGCUCGAUGGCGGACGGUCCGCGCCUGCACCACAUAAGUGCCAGUUCAAGUGAAUGCUGCAGAAGAUCCCCGUUCGACUCGGGGUCGAGCCA